UGGCAUGUAGCUCAACAGGCAGAGCAAGGGACUGUUAAUCCCUGGGUUGCUGGUUCGACUCCAGCCAUGCCAG
RNAcentral lists this transfer RNA (73 nucleotides) under Streptomyces sp. ISL-87. RNAcentral describes it as "tRNA-Asn". It matches the Rfam family "tRNA". From Rfam's summary of the family: Transfer RNA (tRNA) molecules are approximately 80 nucleotides in length. Their secondary structure includes four short double-helical elements and three loops (D, anti-codon, and T loops). Further hydrogen bonds mediate the characteristic L-shaped molecular structure. tRNAs have two regions of fundamental functional importance: the anti-codon, which is responsible for specific mRNA codon recognition, and the 3' end, to which the tRNAs corresponding amino acid is attached (by aminoacyl-tRNA synthetases). tRNAs cope with the degeneracy of the genetic code in two manners: having more than one tRNA (with a specific anti-codon) for a particular amino acid; and 'wobble' base-pairing, i.e. permitting non-standard base-pairing at the 3rd anti-codon position. The record is from RNAcentral. Lineage: Bacteria; Bacillati; Actinomycetota; Actinomycetes; Kitasatosporales; Streptomycetaceae.